UAUCUGUGGAAGGGCAGCGUGGUACAGGA
This 29-nucleotide non-coding RNA is filed under the name Rattus norvegicus (Norway rat). The record is from RNAcentral. Lineage: Eukaryota; Metazoa; Chordata; Mammalia; Rodentia; Muridae.